AAGGCUUGACAUACACCGGUAACGCCCAGAGAUUGGUGCCCUUUGUGGUCGUGUACAGGUGGUGCAUGGUUUGUCGUCAGCUCGUGUCGUGAGAUGUUGGGUUAAGUCCCGCAACGAGCGCAACCCUCGUCCUAUGUUGCCAGCGGGUCAUGCCGGGGACUCAUGGGAGACUGCCGGGGUCAACUCGGAGGAAGUGGGGAUGACGUCAAAUCAUCAUGCCCCUUAUGUCUUGGGCUUCACGCAUGCUACAAUGGCCGGUACAAAGGGCUGCGAUACCGCGAGGUGGAGCGAAUCCCAGAAAGCCGGUCUCAGUUCGGAUUGGGGUCUGCAACUCGACCCCAUGAAGUCGGAGUCGCUAGUAAUCGCAGAUCAGCAACGCUGCGGUGAAUACGUUCCCGGGCCUU
This 404-nucleotide ribosomal RNA is filed under the name uncultured Cellulomonas sp. RNAcentral describes it as "bacterial SSU rRNA". It matches the Rfam family "Bacterial small subunit ribosomal RNA", at positions 976 to 1382 of the family's 1533-position model. Lineage: Bacteria; Bacillati; Actinomycetota; Actinomycetes; Micrococcales; Cellulomonadaceae. The record is from RNAcentral.